This 775-nucleotide ribosomal RNA is filed under the name uncultured Neocallimastigales. Its description in RNAcentral is "partial large subunit ribosomal RNA". It matches the Rfam family "Eukaryotic large subunit ribosomal RNA", at positions 18 to 644 of the family's 3401-position model. Lineage: Eukaryota; Fungi; Neocallimastigomycota; Neocallimastigomycetes; Neocallimastigales. The record is from RNAcentral.
UCAGACGAUGCGUCAUGCAUAUCAAUAAGCGGAGGAAAAGAAACUAACAAGGAUUCCCCUAGUAACGGCGAGUGAAUGCGGGAAGAGCUCAAAUUUGAAAUCUUAAAGGGUUUCCCUUUACGAAUUGUAGUUUAAAGAAGUGUUUUCUGUUGAGGUUUUGGUAAAAGUUCUUUGGAAUAGGACAUCAUAGAGGGUGAGAAUCCCGUAUUUGACCUUUACUUUCAACUUUGUGAUACACUUUCAAAGAGUCGGAUUGUUUGGGAAUGCAGUCCAAAAUGGGUGGUAAAUUUCAUCUAAAGCUAAAUAUUGGCGAGAGACCGAUAGCGAACAAGUACCGUGAGGGAAAGAUGAAAAGAACUUUGAAAAGAGAGUUAAACAGUACGUGAAAUUGUCAAAAGGGAAGCGUUUGACACCAGUGUUGUUUUUCUGAAAAUCAAUUAAAGAACUGUUUAUGCUAAGCUGUUUAGACUUUAUCAGCUAUCUGUUUAGUUUUGAGCUUUUCUUUAAUGCACUUUUCAGUUAACAAGUCAACAUCAAUUUCUUUUGCUGUAAAAAAGCUUGAGGAAGGUGGCUUGAGAUUCGUCUUAAGUGUUUAUAGCCUCUUGCCUAUGCAGUCGGAGAGAUUGAGGUCUGCAGCGUAGAUCCUUCGGGGCUAAAUGCAUUUGUGCUAAGUUAUAGCAUUUUAUAGACAACUUGUUGACUAUGAUUUGUCUUGUAGCUUACUCGCUUAUGUUAUUUUACCUACGCUUAGGAUGUUGAAUCUGUGCGAGACUAC